AAGUAUUUAGUCUAAAAAAGACUAUUGAUUUCGACUCAAUUGAUUUUGGCUUAAUCCAAAAAUACUUC
RNAcentral lists this transfer RNA (68 nucleotides) under Nototriton abscondens. RNAcentral's name for it is "tRNA-Arg". It matches the Rfam family "tRNA". Rfam says of the family: Transfer RNA (tRNA) molecules are approximately 80 nucleotides in length. The record is from RNAcentral. Lineage: Eukaryota; Metazoa; Chordata; Amphibia; Caudata; Plethodontidae.